This 1338-nucleotide ribosomal RNA is filed under the name metagenome. RNAcentral's name for it is "bacterial SSU rRNA". It matches the Rfam family "Archaeal small subunit ribosomal RNA". The record is from RNAcentral.
GCUGAUCCUGCCGGAGGUUACUGCUAUUCGGAUUCGACUAAGCCAUGCAAGUUUUGGGAUCAUCUUGGUUCCAGAGCGUAAAGCUCAGUAAUAUGUAGUUAAUCUGCCCUUGGGUACGGGAUAAUCUUGGGAAACUGAGGCUAAUACCGUAUGGGCAAGGGGAUCUGGAAUGCCCCCUUGCUUAAAGCUUCGGCGCCCAAGGAUGAGACUGCAACGGAUUAGCUUGUUGCCAGAGUAACGUCCUGGCAAGGCGAUAAUCUGUACGGGCCUUGAGAGAGGAAGCCCGGAGAUGGAUUCUGAGACAACAAUCCAGGCCCUACGGGGCGCAGCAGGCGCGAAACUUUCUCAAUGCGCGCAAGCGUGAAGGAGGAAUCUGAAGUGCUAUGUCUUAUAGACAUUGCUUUUGCCAAGUCCAAACAGCUUGGAGAAUAAGUGGUGGGUAAGACGGGUGCCAGCCGCCGCGGUAAUACCCGCGCCACGAGUGGUAAUCACGUUUAUUGGGUUUAAAGCGUCCGUAGCCGGUUUGUUAAGUCUCCGGUGAAAGGUCAUAGUCAACUAUGGCGAUGGCCGGAGAUACUGGCAGACUAGAGACCGGGAGAAGUGUGGAGUAUUCCUGGGGUAGGGGUAAAAUCCUGUAAUCCCAGGAGGACUACCUGUGGCGAAGGCGCCACACUAGAACGGAUCUGACGGUGAGGGACGAAAGCUAGGGGUCAAAAGGGAUUAGAUACCCCUGUAGUCCUAGCUGUAAACAAUGCCCACUGGUUGUUGGAGAUCUUACGGGGGUUUCCAAUGCCUUAGGGAAACCGUUAAGUGGGCCACCUGGGGAGUACGGUCGCAAGGCUGAAACUUAAUGGAAUUGGCGGGGGAGCACACAAGGGGUGGAUGCUGCGGUUUAAUUCGAUUCAACGCGAGACACCUUACCAGGGGCGACAGCAGAAUGAAGGUCAGGCUGAAGGUCUUACCAGACAAGCUGAGCGGAGCUGCAUGGCCGUCGUCAGUUCGUGCUGUGAAGUGUCAUGUUAAGUCAUGUAACGAACAAGACCCGCGUCCUAUGUUGCUAUGGCGCUUCUGCGCCAGCACUCAUAGGAGACCGCUGGUGAUAAGCCAGAUGAAGGUGCGGUCGACGGCGGGUCCGUAUGGCCCUAAUCCCCUGGGCUACACGCGGCAUACAAUGGCCGGAACAAUAGGAUGCAACUCCGAAAGGAGGAGCUAAUCCCCAAAUCCGGUCCCAGUUCAGAUCGAGGGUUGUAACUCACCCUCGUGAAGGCGAAAUCCCUAGUAGUCGCUGGUCAUUAUCUAGCGGCGAAUAUGUUCUUGCUCCUUGCACACACUGCCCGU